RNAcentral lists this ribosomal RNA (325 nucleotides) under uncultured Methanosaeta sp. RNAcentral describes it as "bacterial SSU rRNA". It matches the Rfam family "Archaeal small subunit ribosomal RNA", at positions 1016 to 1338 of the family's 1478-position model. Lineage: Archaea; Methanobacteriati; Methanobacteriota; Methanomicrobia; Methanotrichales; Methanotrichaceae. The record is from RNAcentral.
GUGAAGCAUCCUGUUAAGUCAGGCAACGAGCGAGACCCACGUCCACACGUUGCCAGCAUACCCUCCGGGGUGAUGGGUACACUGUGGAGACCGCCGCUGCUAAAGCGGAGGAAGGAAUGGGCAACGGUAGGUCAGUAUGCCCCGAAUCUCCCGGGCUACACGCGGGCUACAAUGGUUGGUACAAUGGGCAUCUACCCCGAAAGGGGAAGGAAAUCUCUUAAAGCCAAUCGUAGUUCGGAUUGAGGGCUGCAACUCGCCCUCAUGAAGCUGGAAUCCGUAGUAAUCGCGUUUCAACAGAACGCGGUGAAUACGUCCCUGCUCCCUU